CUCGAAGGAGAGGUUGUCCGUGAUGUGUUCUCUUUAUUGAUGAUGAAACAUACACGGGAAACCUCUUUUUUAGUAU
Molecule: microRNA precursor, 76 nt
Filed under: Eptesicus fuscus (big brown bat)
Lineage: Eukaryota; Metazoa; Chordata; Mammalia; Chiroptera; Vespertilionidae
Source: RNAcentral